UCGAACGGAAACAUGUCUAGCUUGCUAGAUGAUGUCGAGUGGCGGACGGGUGAGUAAUGCUUGGGAACUUGCCUUUGCGAGGGGGAUAACAGUUGGAAACGACUGCUAAUACCGCAUAAUGUCUACGGACCAAACNGGGCUUCGGCUCUGGCGCAAAGAGAGGCCCAAGUGAGAUUAGCUAGUUGGUGAGGUAAAGGCUCACCAAGGCAACGAUCUCUAGCUGUUCUGAGAGGAAGAUCAGCCACACUGGGACUGAGACACGGCCCAGACUCCUACGGGAGGCAGCAGUGGGGAAUAUUGCACAAUGGGGGAAACCCUGAUGCAGCCAUGCCGCGUGUGUGAAGAAGGCCUUCGGGUUGUAAAGCACUUUCAGUUGUGAGGAAAAGUUAGUAGUUAAUACCUGCUAGCCGUGACGUUAACAACAGAAGAAGCACCGGCUAACUCCGUGCCAGCAGCCGCGGUAAUACGGAGGGUGCGAGCGUUAAUCGGAAUUACUGGGCGUAAAGCGCACGCAGGCGGUUUGUUAAGCUAGAUGUGAAAGCCCCGGGCUCAACCUGGGACGGUCAUUUAGAACUGGCAGACUAGAGUCUUGGAGAGGGGAGUGGAAUUCCAGGUGUAGCGGUGAAAUGCGUAGAUAUCUGGAGGAACAUCAGUGGCGAAGGCGACUCCCUGGCCAAAGACUGACGCUCAUGUGCGAAAGUGUGGGUAGCGAACAGGAUUAGAUACCCUGGUAGUCCACACCGUAAACGCUGUCUACUAGCUGUUUGUGACUUUAAGUCGUGAGUAGCGAAGCUAACGCGAUAAGUAGACCGCCUGGGGAGUACGGCCGCAAGGUUAAAACUCAAAUGAAUUGACGGGGGCCCGCACAAGCGGUGGAGCAUGUGGUUUAAUUCGAUGC
RNAcentral lists this ribosomal RNA (898 nucleotides) under Alteromonas sp. Its description in RNAcentral is "bacterial SSU rRNA". It matches the Rfam family "Bacterial small subunit ribosomal RNA", at positions 62 to 957 of the family's 1533-position model. The record is from RNAcentral. Lineage: Bacteria; Pseudomonadati; Pseudomonadota; Gammaproteobacteria; Alteromonadales; Alteromonadaceae.